RNAcentral lists this unclassified non-coding RNA (1152 nucleotides) under Hevea brasiliensis (rubber tree). The record is from RNAcentral. Lineage: Eukaryota; Viridiplantae; Streptophyta; Magnoliopsida; Malpighiales; Euphorbiaceae.
GCCAUGUCUAUAGUUGUUGCAAUAAAUAACAAUACAAUUUACGGAAAUAUACCAAACAAGAAUCAAAAUUCAUUCUCCCUAGCAUAAACUCUUAACACCACCAUCAAGCAAGAAUCUACUCGAAGUCAGGCUUCUCUGGGUAUGUGCAGCCUGACCUCUGGAUAACAACAUUUGCCGCAUAGCAACCCGCUUUGACCGCAUCCUCAAUGCUCUUCUCCUUGAUCAAUUGAGACAAAAAUCCUCCCACGAACGCAUCACCUGCUCCGUUCGUGUCCACCAAUUUCUCCUUGGGCAGGGGAAUCACGGGGAAUAAUGUCACCUUUCCAUCCUCUGCAACAACAACUGGAUCACAACCUUGGGUGAUGACAGCUAUCCUCUUGCGAGAUGAUGCUUUAGGCAGCUCUGAGAUCUUCAGAGCAAUUUCUUCAACAUUCUCGGUCUCCCAACUGUGGACCUUCGAGAAAGUCCUUGCUUCGGUCUCGUUCCCGAAAAUAUAGUCCACAUACGGCAGAGCUUUCUCCUGGGCAUCACGGAAGAACUCGCAGAUAAAAGGAGCCGACAGGUUCAUCAUAAAUACCUUGUCAUUUGCAGCUGCGUGCUCAGCUACGAGCAAAAUCGACUCUGGAGACACUGUUAGGAAAAACCCAGCAAUAUAGAUAUACUUCGCCUUCUCAACUAGUGCCCAGUUCUCUGGACUCUUUAAAUGUUCAGUCUUGUAGCAAUUUGCUGCUGACAAAUUAGCAAUCAAGGACCUUUCACCACCAACAACGCAGACAGCACAUGUACCCGUCGGAGCAGUUUCAUCCUCAUAAUAGUGAACAUUAACACCAGCAGCUGUUGAGUUUUUCUUCAUUUCCUCACCAAACUUGUCCUUUCCAAUGCAACCCAUGUAACUAGUUGCCCCCGGAAUUUGAAGCAUCCACUGGGCAACCCUUAUUGAAUUUUGAGUAGCCCCUCCAGCAAUGUAUUCAACAUUAUAUUUUUCUACAAUUUCGUCAUACAUAGGCAAAUGCUUCUCCUCUGCGAGAAUGGCAUUGUUUGGCUUGAUAUCAUACUUGUUGAGGAAAUCAUCGUCGACGACGGCUGAGAUGUCGAGGAGGGGAUUGCCCAUCCCCAGCAGGAUCCCAUCGUAUCCCGACACCGCCAUUUUUU